UUUAUAUAUGGACUGUUCUUGAAUGUGUAUCAUUGAUCCAAGUGACGAAGACCGAGAAGCAAACGAAGAUGCUGCGUUUAAUCUUUGCUGCGUUUGUUGUUACCAACGCUAUCGCAGCUCCAGCCAAAACUGCUGCAGAGGAGGGUUAUGCUACUGAUCAAAAUGGCGCCGCCUUGAGUCCGAUUUCUGCUGCCCAUCCUAAUUUCUUUAUGAUUAAUGGUGAUGGCAAGAGAAGGCCCAGGAAGAUUGAUGGAAAUGGAGAUUUUGAAAUUGAAGGUUUGGAUCACAGAAGACGCAGAGUGGUUGAUGAAAAUUACGCCGGUAUAAUUAAGAAUGGUGCUCUCUUUCCAGCUCAGAGAGCUUAACCUGGCUUACCAAAGAUAUCGAUGACUAUAUGGACCUUCAUGUAAAAGAUUAUGAACGAUUGAUUAACAGGUCCUAUCUCAUUCCUAAUAGUAAUGUAAUAUCGUACGUCAUUCAAUUGU
Molecule: long non-coding RNA, 485 nt
Organism: Ostrea edulis (European flat oyster)
Lineage: Eukaryota; Metazoa; Mollusca; Bivalvia; Ostreida; Ostreidae
Exons: 2
Source: RefSeq, a predicted model, not a curated record